AGUCAGCCUGUCCUUUGAAACUUUGAUGCCAGGCAUUGACUUCUCUCUAGCUAUGAAAUGCCUAGAUGGUAUCUUCUAAUAUGUGGCUAUUUUAUCUAUA
RNAcentral lists this microRNA precursor (100 nucleotides) under Dasypus novemcinctus (nine-banded armadillo). RNAcentral's name for it is "miRNA (ENSDNOG00000034310.1)". The record is from RNAcentral. Lineage: Eukaryota; Metazoa; Chordata; Mammalia; Cingulata; Dasypodidae.